UGUCAAAUUCUCCCUGCAAUCUUGAAUCUACAAUAUCAUUGAUCUCCUUUUCAAGUAGCACAGAAUGAACCCAUUGAACUAUGUGAGUUUUCUCCUCAGAUCUGGUUAUAGCUGGUUGACCUGUAAUUAUCUCAAGCAGCACUACUCCAAAACUGAAAACAUCACUUUUUCCAUUCAACCUGUUUGAUCUAUUGUACCUGAUGCAUAGAAAUUUACAACUCAAUUUAUAUGAAAUGUUGUCUCAAGACUCUUGAAUUUUGCCACCAGGGUUUGAGUCAAAAUCAUAACUUACUCUGGAUCAAGAUAUCCCAGGGUGCCAGCUACCACUGUGGUCAUAUGGGUGUCGCUUUCAUCAGGAUAGAUCUUUGACAACCCAAAAUCAGCUAGUUUACCCCGCAAUUUUUCAUUCACCAAGAUGUUCUUAGACUUAACAUCUCUGUGAACAAUUGGUACAUUGCAGCCAUGAUGCAAAUACUCCAAUCCUACAGUUAAAGUCUCAACUUAAAUUUUUGUUGCAUAAAACUCUUACUCUAAAGAAAGAGGGUGCAAAAUGAUUCUUUUCAUACUUACCUUCGGCAGCAUCCACUGCAAUUUGAAGUCGUUGGUUCCAACUCAAUAUAUUUUUGCUUUUGCCUACAUUUUUUAUGAUUCCACAAAGGAAUGCAUGAGUUUGAAAUCAUAGAAAAAAAAAGAAAUGGCAUUGUGUUUUGGUGCAGAAUGAUAUAAAAAAAAAUUGUUUUCCAGUCCAUACACCUAUCUUUGACUCAAUUUUUAUGCUUCAUUUAAAUGUAUCUGAUUUGACUUGAAUGGUUUGUGAUAUAUUAUUCGAAUUCAUUGACUGUUUAGAGUCUUUAUGCAGAUAAUUAAGACAACUACAGAGUCAAAAGCUUUUACUUUACACCAGUACCUUUUUAUCUAGCAAAGGUGGAUACAAUCAUAAACACAUUAUGUAAAUUGACCUUAAACAAUACCUGAUAAAUGUUUUGCCAAGUCUCCAUUAGCCAUAUACUCAUAGAUGAGAGCCAUAUUCUCGCCAUCAUCACAAUAUCCAAUUAGAGAAGUUAAAAAUUUAUGAUGAACAACAGCAACAAAUUUGGCCUGUAAAUAAAAAAAGCAAUAAUCCCUUCAGUUAUCACAAACAUUAUAUUAUAUAUAUAUAUAUAUAUAUAUAAUAUAACUAUGUAUGAUCAUAUUUGAAGUUAGUCAUAUUACCUCAGCCUUAAACUGCAGAUACCCUUGGGCUGAGGGAGAGAGCAUUUUGACAGCUACCUCAAUAUCAUCUAUGCAGCCAUGGUAGACUGUAGCAAAUCCUCCUUUCCCUACAACUCUUUCAAAAUUUUUGGUCAUGCUCAGGACUUCAGCAUAGGUAAAUUCUUGUUUAUUUGUCUCUAGUUCCUCCUUUAUUCUGGAAUAGCCAAUCCGUUUGCUAGCUGAAACUGUGGGAAGAAAGAAACAGUGUCAAAGUCCAUGCAAAUAUCUGCUAAUUGUUGUACACUAUAUUCAUAUGUUAUGCCUAAUAUAGUGCAAUCUUAGAUAAUCUUGCCUAUAUAUCUUCAAAAUAAAAAUCCAAUUGAAAAUUUACAAUGUAGAAAUCAACUUCAAAUUUGAUACAUUGUCCUUUUUAUACUGUUAAACAAUUGUAUAUCAACUUAAGAAUGACAAUGUAAAAACCGUUCCCACUUUUAUUUUGAAGAACACUGAUUUUGAAGAACACCUUUUACAUUGUUCUUUUGUGUUAAAAAACAACAUGGUACCUGGUUGUCUCCUUUUGUGUAUGUAGAAAGAAAUCAGUAUUAUUACUAGUAUCACGAAAGCUCCACCGAGCGAUGCCACUAGUGGGAUUACAACUCUGUUCCCAUUUUUAUUGUUGCAUGAACCUGGGGAGCAAAGAUUUGGAUUUCCACCAAAACUGCAUUUACAAUGUAAAAGAUGAACAUGUUAUGGGAAUUGUCUUACCAAAUGGUAAACCAACAUAAUAUGCCAUUCCACAUAUUGUUGCAAAAAAUGAGAUAAAUGAGUAACUCAUUGGGAAUGAAGUCAAAACAGAGAGGCAGAGUAUUAUCCAAAACUGAAUUUUGAAACAGAACAUACUUGGAUUCAAGUAAACCGUUCUGGGAAAGUACAAUGAGUUGCGUUGGAAUUGUUCCUGAUAGCUGAUUGCCUUCUAGGUUUCUUGCAUAAAGAAAUAACAAAUCAUUAUUCAUCUUUCAUAAAAAAUACUCUAUAAGGUCCACAUUAAAUAAAAAAGGGUGAAAAUUUUAUGGAGAGGUAGAUCUAGUUGAGUACUUUUUUCACUGUAAGAUGCACAUGCAGAUCCUUAACAUGUUUCUAAAUAAUUAAAGCAACAAAGAUAAUUAAAAAAUCAAUUUCAAGAAACUUAGCCUUUUGAAAACACUACCUCUUUAUAAAAUUUCUUGAUCUAAAUAGUUAACUUACAGAACUCUUAAGAAGCUUAGUUGAUGUAGGAAUUCAGGCACGACCCCGGUCAAAUUGUUGUUUGACAAAUCCCUAAAAUAGAAACAAAUUUCUUAUACUCAACUUUAGGAGGAAUCAUAAACUUUCUGUGAUCAACUAUAUAAGUUGCUAUUUGUAUGAGGUAGAUUCAGUGACUUACAAAUAUUCUAUGUACUGCAGAUUGGAUAUGCCAGAUGCUAUAUUACCAAUUAAACCACUGGAAGAUAAGUUCCUAAAAGCAUGUUAUAAGAUUUUGUUAAUAAUAUUGAAGAUAUAAGCGUAAAUUUGAAGCUAAAACUAUAGCAUCAGUCUAUGUAUCAGACCAAACUUACAAGUAUAUAAUUCUUGCUGAACCAGAUUCAUAGCUGCAGUUAAGACCGUCCCACAAGUAAGCUACUGGUAUACAAGGAUCUCCUUGCCAGUUUCUCUUGAUUCCAUACAUUGACUUGACAUUUAUUAUACCAUCAACUAUUAUCAUGAAUAUAUAGUAAUGAGUAAUAAUAAGAGUAGUGCAUGUGAAUAAUGAUGUGCAGGGUUGUAAUCAGUUAUAAUAAGGUGAUACUAGAAAGCAAAAUCAGGUGUCUAAGAACAUACCAUCUGUUUGAUAUGUUGCAGAUUGUGAGAGGUUUCUUGUGGUAUAUAUCUCAAUGGCGUUGAGAAGAGGUGGAAGAGUUGAUCUACUAGUUUUAUUAAUCCAAAUGUCCAACGGUUUUUCAGUUAGAGCUAUGUGAUACACACUCUGCAGGUAUAAAGGAUUGAUUGGAUAAUUAUUUAAAAUGUCCCCAUUUACAAAAAUGUUGAACUCUCUCGUUUGGUUUGCCUGAAGCUUCUGGAUUUCAGCAAAAAACAUGUACACAUAAAGAGUGGAAGAAUUAUAAUUGGGAAGGAAGUGGAACUCUAUAUUGUCCUUGACAUUUGCU
RNAcentral lists this long non-coding RNA (3374 nucleotides) under Phaseolus vulgaris (common bean). RNAcentral's name for it is "long non-coding RNA (PVUL_LNC003198)". The record is from RNAcentral. Lineage: Eukaryota; Viridiplantae; Streptophyta; Magnoliopsida; Fabales; Fabaceae.